This is a long non-coding RNA of Arabidopsis lyrata subsp. lyrata, 2297 nucleotides long. RefSeq lists it as uncharacterized. The record is from RefSeq and is a predicted model, not a curated record. NCBI's taxonomy places the organism in Eukaryota, Viridiplantae, Streptophyta, Magnoliopsida, Brassicales, Brassicaceae. The transcript is spliced from 3 exons.
UUAACAGAUUCUUCCUCUCUUCUCCUCUCCUCUUAAUAAUCUAAUCCUUCUCCCCGAAUAUCUCUCUGCCUUUUGUUCUUUCUUUUUUGGUAAUUUAUUUAUUUUCCAUUCGAUUUGGUCAAAACCCUAGAUUUGUUUUCCAAAAGCAUAUCUAAAAAUGAAGGACAACUUUCCUCUUGUCCUUCGAUUAUAAAUAUUCUCUCUGGUUUAACCUAAAAGCCUCAGAUCUAACUCAACACAUUCAAAGUCUGCCUCCUUUUCAAUAUUCUUUCUUCUCUUCCAUCUCUAAUCUCAGAAUUUGUGUCGGUAUGGUAAAAAGGGUGAUGAGUUAUGAGUGAUAGAGUUUUGGGACAAAUUUUAAGAGAAACGCAUAGAAACUGACAGAAGAGAGUGAGCACACAAAGGCACUUUGCAUGUUCGAUGCAUUUGCUUCUCUUGCGUGCUCACUGCUCUAUCUGUCAGAUUUCGGCUCCGAUUCGGUUCCGUUCACGUUUUCUUCUUCUAAUUGUGUUCCAAUCUCUCACUUUCUUUCUCAUGUGUUCUUCAUCUCUCCAAAGGUAAAUUAAAUACGAUCUGAUGAUAUAUGUAUGAAGAUUGUUGUUAUUUGCUGCCAUUUAUUUGGUUUAAAAUUGCAUGCGAGUUUGCUUUAUGUGUUUUCCUUUGCUGAACUUUAUAUUUUAUGAGAUCCUUAGCAUCGAAAGCUUAAUCUAUGAGUUUAAGGCGUGGUUAAGUGAGAUUAACAUGGGACCAUUAACGUUAACCUAGUUUUACUUAGGCUGGUCCUAACUCUUUUGAAUCCUUUAUAAUAUUAUAUUGUUACCUUUUCCUUUAUCUAGUUUCUCAUUAGCCCUUUUAAUCUGUGAUUUCUAGUCUUGGUCUCUUCAUAAAUAUCUGUGGAUAUUUUUGUUAUAUAUGAUCAUAUCUAUGUGUAUAGUCAUGGAUCUUGCAAGAGUACUGUUCAUGAUCUUCGAAUUGCUGUACAGAUUAUUUAUAUUGCAUGCUCGUACGUUUUGAUUCCAUUUAUGUAAUUAUGUUUCUAAUUUAGUCUAUCACAUAUAGUUUAAUGUGUUUUGUACUACUUAUAGAUGGUAUCUAGUUUAUAUGUCAUUGAUCGACGUGAUCACGUUGUGAAUCUUGUGAGAAUAUUCUCGUGGGUUUGUGUCUUGAUUUAAGAAAUGUUCUUUGGGUUUGUUUCUUGAUUUGAGAACAUGUUCUUUGCAUGUCCUCAAAACGACGUUUUAAUUUAGGCAUUCUUUGGAAUUUUUUUGUUGUUUUUUACCAAAAAAUCUUCAGUAAUUUGAACCUGUAAGGAUCAAAUCAAUCCUGUAUCGUGAUUAAGGAAUUUUCAGUAUAUGACUGCUUUAUGUAUGUUUCAUGUCUAGAUUGUGAAGGAUAUUAAAAUUUGAUUUGUCUCACUUAUAUUUUUUUCUCUACGCCAAAACAUUUCAAAAUUUCAAUUUUAAUUCAUAUAUAUUUAUGGGAGGGAUGUAAUGUUAUCUUGGGGUUUUCUUCUGGUGAGUAGGUAAUAUAUAUUCCACAUACCAAUAGAAACCUCUAUCAUUCAUGGUCUCUGUUGUAUUGCUAGAUGUCUCUUGUCAUGCGUUUGUGUUGUUCUUGAUACUGAUUUGCUUUCUCCUUUGUUCCCAUGUUUUCGUUGUUUACAAACCAAAAAAAAAGCCAAUGUGAGACGCAAAUUUAUGUUCUUGCUAUAAUCGACAACAAUUAGUUUUAAUUAAAUUUCUUCAAGAGAAAGAUAGUGCUUUCUUGAUGCUUGUGAAAUGAGUUACCAUUAACCGUUCAUCGAUAAUCUUCAGACGGCAUGUCUAGAAGAACGAUAUGUAAGAGGUCUUAUGUAUACUUGCAUCACAUAAAUGCUAUGAUUAAGAUGUCACCAAGGCUUUGUUAAAGUUAGAAUCACAUGGAGCAUUUUCGGUGAGCUAGGAAGUCGGAUCAAAGAGGCUCUAAGUUUUUCGAAGGUUUGAAUAAUCUAAGCUAUAUCGAUCUUUUGGUAGCUGCCCCAUUCAAAUUGUUCCUGCGAAGUCAAAGAGAUCAAUAUUGCAGGGCUUAGCCUAACCUAUUUGUACUUUAAGAGUUGAUAUGCUUUAAUUUGAUCUAUUUUGUUGAUUCCUCAUGUUCCACAUAUAUGUGAUUUUUGUAGUUUAGAGUCGGUUAUUAAACAUUGUUUAACGAAUUAUGAGGUGAUUGUAGAAACUGAGUAGGAUUGUUGUUCUGCAGGUCCACUGCAGAUAUACUAUGAUAAUUUAUGUUAUUGGAAUUUGAAUCCCUGAAUUAUCCAA